CAAGUGUCACGGCCCAAUUCUCCCUCCGUAAGAUGUCGUGACGGCACCUAGUCUCUAUGACUAGGUAAGCCUAACAAAAAUGGGAAAAUAACAAAAAUGGAAGUGAAACUUAACAACUAACUGAAACUGAUAACUAAAUAACUAGUAACAAUUUCGCUCGGCAUGUACAAUAACCAACACUCUAGCAAUGCACAGUAUUCCCAAAACCCUGAACAUCAUAAGUCACAAGCUAUAGAAGUAAACUAGUAUCUCUAUACACCAGAUUCUAAUAAAAGAAGUACAGAAGGUAAAUGACAUAGGAGAGAAUAGAGGGGGACUCCGAGAUCUGCGGACGCGACAGAUGUACCUUGAAGAGUAGCAUGAGUACACCACAACGGUACCUAGUAAGUGCCAAGCCUAACCUCGGUAGAGUAGUGACGAGGUAAGGUCAGGCCCACUGGUAUAUAAUAAAUAAAGCAGGAGAUUACAACAGUAUAAUAAGAGAUUGGAAUUUAACAAAAAGAAAACACAGUGAAAUAACAGUACAACACACAGGGAUAAACAGUAGGAAAUCUCCCGAGAUACCGUCUCGUGGUCCCAAAAUAAAUAUGCAGGGAGAACGCCCGAGGUACCGCCUCGUAGUCUCAAAAGUAAAUAUGCAGGGAGAACUCCCGAGGUACCGCCUCGUAGUCGCAAAAGUAAAUGUACAGGGAGAACUCCCGAGGUACCGCCUCGUAGUCUCAAAAGUAAAUGGGCAGGGAGAACUCCCGAGGAACCGCCUAGUAGUCUCAAAAGUAAACACACAGCUCAAACCGUUAAAUACCACAAUUAACAACAAGAAUUCUACAGUUAAGACUGAUAAAGAACAAGGAAAAAUAGGUAAAUCAACUAGGCAUGCUGCACAAAGUUCAAAUAAGCAGUUAAAGCCCGUAGACAUACGAUAUUAGACUAAACAGGAUAACCAUGCAUAUUGGUAUAACUCAAUUAAGAAUGAAAAUAGGUUACUACUCAGUAAAAAUCGGGUUUUACAACAAAUAGCCAGUGUACGCACUCGUCACCUCACGUACACGGCGCUCACAUAUCACAUCAGUACCAAAUCCUAAGGGGAUUUCCUCCCCCACAAGGUUAGGCAAGCCACUUACCUCGAACCAAGCUCAAUUAAUCCGUAAUAAUGCCUUUUCCUUGAUUAUCCGACUCUGAAUGGCCCAAAUCUAGCCAAACACAAUUACAUAUCAUGAAUAAAAUUACGAGAAACUAAUUUAAAUAAUAAAUCUAUGACUUUAGCAAAGAAUCGAAAAUUCGGCCGAAAGAGUCGACCCUGGCCCGCGUCUCGGAAUCGGAUAAAAGUCAUAAAAUAUGAACACCCAAUCAACCACGAGUUCACCCAUACAAAAAUUACCAAUUUUCGACAUCAACUCGACCCUCAAAUCUUCAAAUCAAACUCUUCGAAUAAUUCCACCUUAAAUACACACUAACUAGGUGAAAAAAUAAAUGGGGAAGCAAGAUUAUUGAUCAAAAACAAGCAAAAGGGACUUACCUCACGAAAUCCCUCGAAAAUGCUCUCAAGAAAUCGUUAAACCCGAGAUCAAAAUGUUUAAAAUGAGCAAAAAUUGCUAACCCUUGCAUUUAAGUGUUCUGUCUAGAAAUUUCGCUUCUGCGGGCUUCUGGUAGCACCUGCGACGCCGCACCUGUGGAAUUUCCUUCGCAGGUGCAGAAAUGACUUAAGAGGGCUGGGUCUGCUUCUGCGAAAAAAGGGUCGCACCUGCGAGUGCGCGCCUGCGGACUAAUGUCCGCUUCUGCGGUCUUCUCCGCGCCUACGGUUCCUUAAGCGCAUAUAUGGGCAUCGCAGAUGCGAUAUUUCCCCUCGCACCUGCGACCCCUUGACCACCAUCCCAAAUCGGCUUCUACACUUGGUCUCCCCAUCGCAGGUGCGAAAACACCAGAAAACUUAAGCCAUUCCAACAAGUCCAAAAAUGAUCCAUUAACCACCCGAAAUCAACCCAAGGCCCCCGGGACCUCAACCAAACAUACCAACAAGUCCUAAAACACCAUACAAACCUAGUCGAGCCCUCAAAACACGUCAAACAAUAACAAAAACACGAAUCACCCUCCAAUCCAAACUUAAUGAACUUGAAACUUCAAAUUUCUACAACUGAUGUCGAAACCUAUCAAACCACGUCCGAUUGACCUCAAAUUUUGCACAAAAGUCAUAUUUAACAUUACGGACCUACUCCAACUUUCGAAAUCGGAAUCCGACCCCGAUAUCAAAAAGUCCACUUCCAGUCAAAAUCUCCAAAAAAUCGACGUUCGCCAUUUCAAGCCUAAAUCAGCUACAGACCUCAAAUUCACAGUCCGGACACGCUGCUAAGUCCAAAAUCACCCAACGGAGCUAACGGAAUUGACGAAACUCCAUUCUGGAGUCGUCUUCAUGCAGUUCCGACUACGAUCAAAAUCCUAAGACUUAAGCUUCCGUUUUAGGGACUGCGUGUCUCAAAACACUCCAAAACCAAAAGUAAGACUUCCCGGCAAGUCACAUACACAGAAACAGAUACGGGAAAAGCAGAAAAUAGGGUAUCGGGGCUAUUACUCUCAAAACGACCGGCCGGGUCGUUACAUCCUCCCCCUCUUAAAAUAACCGUUCGUCCUCGAACGAGCACAGAGACAUACCUGAAGUGGUGAAAAGAUGAGGAUAGCGGCUAUGCAUAUCAUGCUUGGUCUCCCAAGUUGCCUCCUCGGCCAGCUGACCCCUCUACUGAAACUUCACGGAAGCAAUAUUCUUUGACCUCAGCUUUCGCACCUGCCUGUCCAAAAUGGCCACCGGCUCCUCAACAUAAGAUAAAUCCUUGUCCAACUGGACUGAGUUAAAAUCCAACACAUGAGACGGAUCAUCGUGAUACUUCCGGAGCAUAGAAACAUAGAAUACUAGGUAAACCCCUGCUAGACUAGGAGGCAAGGCAAGCUCAUAAGCAACCUCCCCAACACGCCGCAACACCUCGAAUGGGCCGAUAAACCUUGGGCUCUGCUUGCCCUUCUUUCCGAACCUCAUAACACCCUUCACAGGUGACACCCGGAGCAGGACCUGCUCUCCAACCAUGAAUGCAACAUCGUGAACCUUCCGAUCUGCAUAACUCUUCUGUCUGGACUGGGCUGUGCGAAGUCGAUCCAGAAUCUCCUUAACCUUCUCCAAAGCAUCCUGAACCAAGUCUGUGCCCAAUAACCUAGCCUCGCCCGGCUCGAACCAACCCACUAGAGACUGGCACUGCCUCCCAUAUAAGGCCUCAUAGGGUGCCAUCUGAAUGCUCGACCGAGAACUGUUAUUGUAAGCAAACUCCGCAAGUGGCAAGAACUGAUCCCAAGCACCCCCAAAAUCUAUCACACAAGCACGGAGCAUAUCCUCCAUUAUCUGAAUAGUGCGCUCGGACUGUCUGUCCGUCUGAGGGUGAAAUGUUAUGCUCAACUCAACCCGAGUACCCAACUCAUGCUGUACAGCCCUCCAGAACCGUGAUGUAAACUGCGUAUCCCGAUCAGAAAUGAUAGAUACCGGUACGCCAUGAAGUCUGACAAUCUUGCGGAUAUAAAUUCGAGCCAAUUGCUCAGAAGAAUAGGUAGUCAUCACAGGAAUGAAAUGGGCUGACUUGGUCAGCCUAUCCACAAUCACCCAAAUUGCAUCAAACUUCCGCUGAGUCCGUGGAAGCCGAACAACGAAAUCCAGAGUGAUCUGCUCCCAUUUACACUCCGGAAUCUUUAACAUCUGAAGCAAUCCACCUGGCCGUUGAUGCUCAUACUUUACUUGCUGGCAAUUCAGACACCUAUCUACAUAUUCCACUAUGUCCUUCUUCGUUCUCCUCCACCAGUAAUGCUGCCUCAAAUCCUAAUACAUCUUCGCGGCUCCCAGAUUAAUGGAGUACCGCAAACUGUGAGCCUCCUGGAGAAUCAACUCACACAGCCCAUCUACAUUGGGCACACAUAGCCUGCAUCGCAUCCUCAGUGCACCAUCAUCUCCAAUAGAGACCUCCUUUGCAUCACCGUGUUGAACCGUGUCCUUAAGCACAAGCAGAUGUGGGUCAUCAUACUGACACUCCCUAAUACGAUCAUAAAGAGAAGACCGAGAGACCAUACAAGCCAAUACUUAACUCGGCUUAGAAAUAUCCAAUCUAACAAACUGGUUGGCUAAGGCCUGAACAUCCAACUCCAAUGGCCUCUCUAUUGUUGGUAGAUAUGCUAAGCUCCCCAAACGCUUCACCCGGCGAUUGAAAGCAUCGGCCACCACAUUGGCCUUCCCGGGAUAGUACAAAAUAGUGAUAUCAUAAUCUUUAAGCAACUCCAACCACCUACGCUGACGCAAGUUAAGAUCCUUCUGUUUGAAUAGAUGCUGCAAACUCCAGUGAUCGGUGUAGAUCUCACAAGGGACACCGUACAAAUAGGGCCGCAAAAUCUUUAAGACAUGAACAAUAGUUGCUAACUCAAGGUCAUGGAAAUGAUAGUUCUUUUCAUGCACCUUCAGCUGUCUGGACGCGUAGGCAAUCACCCUACCGUCCUGCAUCAACACCACACCUAGACCAAUCCGUGAGGCAUCACAAUAUAUAGUAUAAGACCCCAAACCUAUAGGCAAUACCAAUACUGGGGCUGUAGUCAAAGCCGUCUUGAACUUCUGAAAGCUCUCCUCACACUCCUCUGUCUACCUGAACNNNNNNNNNNNNNNNNNNNNNNNNNNNNNNNNNNNNNNNNNNNNNNNNNNNNNNNNNNNNNNNNNNNNNNNNNNNNNNNNNNNNNNNNNNNNNNNNNNNNNNNNNNNNNNNNNNNNNNNNNNNNNNNNNNNNNNNNNNNNNNNNNNNNNNNNNNNNNNNNNNNNNNNNAAGGUCUGAAGCACAGUCAUCGGGUGGUGCUCAUGAUCCUCCCGAGUCCGGGAGUACACCAGAAUGACGUCAAUAAACACAAUGACGAAAGAGUCAAGAUAGGGCCGGAACACACUGUGCAUCAAGUGCAUAAAAGUUGUUGGGGCAUUGGUCAGCCCAAAAGACAUCACGAGGAACUCGUAGUGACCAUACCGAAUCCUGAAAGCAGUCUUCGGGAUAUCUGGCUCCCGAAUCUUCAACUGAUGAUAGCCUGAACGUAAGUCAAUCUUGGAAAACACUCUGGCACCCUGUAACUGAUCAAAUAAGUCAUCAAUACGAGGCAAUGGAUACCUAUUUUUCACUGUGACUUUGUUCAGCUGGCGAUAACCAAUGCACAUAUGCAUAGAACCAUCCUUCUUCUUCACAAACAAGACAGGAGCACCCCAAGGUGACACACUAGGCCGAGUGAAGCCCUUAUCAAGCAACUCCUGUAACUGCUCCUUUAACUCCCUCAACUCAAGAUGAGCCACACGAUAUGGAGGAAUAGAGAUAGGCUGAGUGCCCGGAAACAAAUCAAUGCCAAAGUCAAUAUCUCUGUCGGGCGGCAUGCCCGGAAGAUCAGCUGGAAAUACAUCUGGAAAAUCCCUCACUACUGGGACUAACUCAACUGUAGGGGUAUCAAUACUGACAUCUCUCAUAUAAGCUAGAACACGUCACACCCCUUCUCAACCAUUCGUUGUGCUUUAAGAAAUGAAAUAACUCUAUUGGGAGUAUACUCUAAGGUACCUCUCCACUCUAAUCACGGUAAUUCUGGCAUAGCCAGCAUUGCGGUUUUAGCGUGACAAUCAAUAAUAGCAUAAUGGGGCGACAACUAGUCCAUGACCAAAAUAAUAUCAAAGUCUACCAUGCUGAGCAAUAAUAAAUCGGCUCUGGUCUCAAAACCACUAAGAACAACCAACACAACCGAUACACAUAGUCCACAAUAAUAGAAUCUCCCACAGGUAUAGACACAUAAACAGGAGAACUCAAAGAAUCACGGGCUACGUCCAAAUACGGAGCAAAAUAAGAGGACACAUAGGAAUACGUAGAACCUGGGUCAAAUAAAACUGACGCAUCUCUAUGACAGACCGGAACAAUACUUGUAAUGAUAGAGUCAGAAGAAACUGCCUCUGUACGUGUAGGAAGAGCAUAAUAUCUGGCCUGGCCUCCCCCUCUAGGGCGACCUCCACCUUGAGCUGGCUGAGCAGGUGGGGUAGUAGCUGGUGCUGUAAUCAUAGCCUGAGGACCCGGUGGAGCAUGUUGUGCCUAAGAAGUCUGUGGAAGUGCACCCCUCCUAAGUCUAGGGCAAUCCCUCACCAUAUGGCGAGUGUCGCCAUACUCAAAAUAAGCUCUCGGAGGGCGUGACUAGUGUGACUGCUAGGGCCAGGUUUGCUGGACUGACCGCUAAAAGCACCUCGUGCAGGAGGCGCACUAGAUACUGGCGGUGCAUAAUAAGGCUCUUGGGGCCUACAAGGGGUCGGAAUACCACUGGCGGCUGGAAGAGCUGAAUGAACAGGGUGACUCACAUAACCCCUACCAUGGCGAACUGCAGCUGGGGCACGAGUACUACUAUAAGUGCCAGACUCUCGAGACCUCUUAGCCUCUCUCUCCUUCUCUCCCGAGCAAGCAUACCCUCCAAUAUCCUAGCAAUACUCACAACCUGCUGGUAAGAAAUAUCCAUCUCUAACUCCUGGGCCAUGUUAAGCCUGAUACUGGGGUGGAGUCCCUCAAUAAACCGACGAACCCUCUCUCGAGAUAUGACAACCAAGGCUGGUGCAUGUCGGGCCAGAUUACUAAAGCGAAUUGCAUACUCUGAGACUCUGAGGAACAUACCUCCCUNNNNNNNNNNNNNNNNNNNNNNNNNNNNNNNNNNNNNNNNNNNNNNNNNNNNNNNNNNNNNNNNNNNNNNNNNNNNNNNNNNNNNNNNNNNNNNNNNNNNNNNNNNNNNNNNNNNNNNNNNNNNNNNNNNNNNNNNNNNNNNNNNNNNNNNNNNNNNNNNNNNNNNNNNNNNNNNNNNNNNNNNNNNNNNNNNNNNNNNNNNNNNNNNNNNNNNNNNNNNNNNNNNNNNNNNNNNNNNNNNNNNNNNNNNNNNNNNNNNNNNNNNNNNNNNNNNNNNNNNNNNNNNNNNNNNNNUAUGCCCAUACGUAUGAAGAAUGCGGUGACAAUCCUCCAGAAAACACGGGGCAUCCUCUGACGCCAAUCCACUAAAGGUAAGAGGGUGGUACUUCUUGUACCUCUCAAGUCUGAGCUGCUCUGCCUCAGAAACUGUUGCCCUAACCUCGGGCUAAGCUGGAGCUAACGGCUGUAUCGGUGUAAUCUCUGGAACCUGGUCGAUCUGAACCCACUGCUCUGGGGUACCAGUGACGGGAGUCUGUGCUCCUCCCCCGGCAUGAGAUGUGGUAGGAGUAAGUGGAAUCAAUCCAGCCUGAGCCAAGGUGCUGAACAUGCUAAGAAAGUGCCCUAGAGUCUCAUGGAGAGCUGGUGCAGCAACAGAUAUCUCAGGUGUCUUCCCUCCAGCAAGAGCUACUGGGGGCUCCUCUGUAGCAGCUCGUGCGGGUGCUCUGGCUGCACCGCAUGGAAGUCCUUGACCUCUACCCCGGCCCCGGCCCCGGCCUCUCGCGGCUCUAGCAGGGAGCGCGGGUGCUUGGUCAUCAGAUCCACUUAUACGUGUCCUCACUAUCUGUGAGAGAAUAGAAUACAAAAAUUUAGAAUUUCGAAGUCAACAAUUUCGCACGACAAGGAAUCAAAGAAGUGAAUUUUUUUCUAAUAGUUCUAUAGCUUCCUGAAGAUAAAUACAGAUGUCUCUGUACUGAUCUAUGAGACUCUACUAAACUUGCUUGUGACUCACGAUACCUAUGAACCUAGAGCUCUGAUACCAAUUGUCACAACCUAAUUCUCCCUCCGUAAGACGUCAUGACGGCACCUAGUCUCUAUGACUAGGUAAGCCUAACAAAAAUACGGAAAUAAUAAAAAUGGAAGUGAAACUUAACAACUAACUGCAACAGAUAACAAAAUAACUAGUAACAAUGCCACUCGGCAUGUACAAUAACCAACACUCUAGCAAUGCACAGUAUUCCCAAAACCCGGAGCAUCAUAAGUCACAAGUUACAGAAGAAAACUAGUAUCUCUAUACACUAGAGUCUAAUAAAAGAAGUACGGAAGGUAAAUGACAUAGGAGAGAAUAGAGGGGGACUCUGAGGUGUGCAGAUGCGGCAGAUAUACCUUGAAGCCUCCGUACAACAGCAAGCACUCUCAGCUAAUAGCGGGGCUGAUAAGAAGUACCUGGAUCUGCACACAAAACAUGUGCAGAAGAGUAGCAUGAGUACACCACAACGGUACCUAGUAAGUGCCAAGCCUAACCUCGGUAGAGUAGUGACGAUGUCAGGUCAGGCCCACUGGUAUAUAAUAAAUAAAGCAGGAGAAUACAACAGUAUAAUAAGAGACUGGAAUUUAACAAAAGGAAAACACAGCAAAAUAACAGUACAACACACACAGGGAUAAAUAGUAGGAAAUCUCCCGAGAUACCGUCUCGUGGUCCCAAAAUAAAUAUGCAGGGAGAACGCCUGAGGUACCACCUCGUAGUCUCAAAAGUAAAUAUGCAGGGAGAACUCCCGAGGUACCGCCUCGUAGUCUCAAAAGUAAAUGUACAGGGAGAACUCCCGAUGUACUGCCUCAUAGUCUUAAAAGUAAAUAUGCAGGGAUAACUUCUGAGGAACCGCCUCGUAGUCUCAAAAGUAAACACACAGCUCAAACCGAUAAAUACCAUAGUUAACAGCAAGAAUUCUACAUUUAGGACUGAUAAAGAACAAGGAAAAACAGAAAAAUCAACUAGGCAUGCUGCAUAGAGUUCAAAUAAGCAGUUAAAGCCCGUAGACAUACGAUAUUAGACUAAACAUGAUAACCACACAUAUUGGUAUAACUCAAUUAAGAAUGAAAACAGGUUACUACUCAGUAAAAACCGGGUUUUACAACAAAUAGCCAGUGUACGCAAUCAUCACCUCACGUAUACGAUGCUCACAUAUUACAUCAGUACCAAAUCCUAAGGGGAUUUUCCCCACACAAGGUUAGGCAAGCCACUUACCUCGAACCAAGCUCAAUCAAUCUGUAAUAAUGCCUUUUCCUCGAUUAUCUGACUCCAAAUGGACCAAAUCUAGCCAAACACAAUUACAUAUCAUGAAUAAAAUUACGAGAAACUAAUUUAAAUAAUAAAUCUACGACUUUAGCAAAGAAUCGAAAAUUCGGCCCAAAACAUCGACACGGACCCACAUCUCAGAAUCGGGUAAAAGUCACAAAAUACGAACACCCAAUCAACCACGAGUUCACCCAUACAAAAAUUGCCAAUUUUUGACAUCAACUCGAUCCUCAAAUCCUCAAAUUAAACUCUCUAAAUUCCUAGCCUCAAACUCUCAAAUUCCACCUUAAAUACACACUAACUAGGUGGAAAAAUAAAUGGGAAAGCAAGAUUAUUGAUCAAAAAUAAGCACAAGGGACUUACCUCACGAAAUCCAUCGAAAAUGCUCUCAAGAAAUCGCCAAACCUGAGCUCAAAAUGUUUAAAAUGAGCAAAAAUCGCGAACCCUUGCAUUUAACUGUUCUGUCCAGAAAUUUCGCUUCUGUGGGCUUCCAGUCGUGCCUGCGAUACCGCACCAGUGGAAUUUCCUUCGCAGGUGCGGAAAUGACUUAAGAGGGCUGGGUCUGCUUCUACAGAAAAAGGGUCAAACCUGCGAGUGCGCGCCUGCAGACUAUUAUCCGCUUCUACGGUCUUCUCCGCGCUUGCGGUUCCUUAAGCGCAUUUGUGGGCAUCGUAGAUGCGGUAUUUCCCCUCGCACCUACGACCCCCUGACCACCAUCCCAAUUCCGCUUCUGCGCUUGGCCUUACGCACGUGCAAUCCCGCACCUAUUUUCAGAAAACUUCAGCCAUUCCAACAAGUCCGAAAAUGAUUCGUUAACCACUCGAAAUCAACCCGAGGCCCACGGGACCUCAACCAAACAUACCAACAAGUCCUAAAGAACCAUACAAACCUAGACGGGCCCUCAAAACACGUCAAAUAACAACCAAAACACGAAUCACCCUCCAAUCCAAACUUAAUGAACUUGAAACUUCAAAUUUCUACAACCGAUGUCGAAACCUAUCAAACCAUGUCCGAUUGACCUAAAAUUUUGCACAAUUCAUAUUCAACAUUACGGACCUACUCCAACUUCCGGAAUCGGAAUCCGACCCCGAUAUCAAAAAGUCCACUUCCGGUCAAAAUCUCCAAAAAUUUGACUUUUGCCAUUUCAAGCCUAAAUCAGCUACAGACCUCAAAUUCAUAGUCCGGACAUGCUCCUAAGUCCGAAAUUACCUAACGGAGCUAACAGAACCGACGUAACUCCAUUCCGGUGUCGUCUUCACACAGUUCUGACGAUCAAAAUCCUAAGACUUAAGCUUCCGUUUUAAGGACUACGUGUCCCAAAACACUUCGAAACCAAAAAGAAGACAUCCCGGCAAGUCACAUAAGCAUAAACAGAUAAGGGAAAGCAAAAAAAAGGGGAUCGGGGCUAUUACUCUCAAAAUAAUUGGCCGGGUCGUUACACCAAGGAACUGCGACGUCUAAGCAGCUCUACCUUGAAUCCUUGCGAUCACACUAUAACUCUGUCCGAGUCCUAUAUCUCCAAAACCUGGCUCUGCACAAAAAUGUGCAGAAGUGUAGUAUAAGUGCACCACAGUCGGUACCCAGUAAGUAUCAAGACUAACCUCAGUGGAGUAGUGAUGAGGUACAGUCGAGACACUCACUAGUCUAAUAACUUGUGCAAUAUAGUAUACAAAAAUAAUAGAAAACAAAUAACAAUGAUGGAAACAAUAAUCAACCAGUGAUAUACACAGUAGGGCAACAAGAACACCGUAAAUAUUGCUCAACAAAUAAUGAAUACAAGUACAACCAAUUAAUCAAGUCCUUCAAAUAUAAAUCUUUUGCCUAUAUAUUUUUCAAAUAAUAAUCUUCAAGAUAUGAUACUCUCCAAUAAAUAUAUUUCGAAUAUACUCCCUUCAAAUAAAUAUCUUUCAAAUAUAAUUCUUUCAAAUAAAUCUCUUUCAAAUAUAAUUCCUUCAAAUAAAUAUCUUUCGAAUAAAAGUCACCUGUGAUACCUCAUUUCAAAAUCAUAAAAAUACGGGUCUCAGCCCACUUUCAUAUUUCCACGACACCUUGUGCCAAUUUCUCUAUCACAACCGCACGGACAACUCAUGUGCCAAUAUCAUCAUCAUUUACUCACGACACCUCGUGCCCACAUUUCAUAUCACAACUGCACGAAUAAUUCACGUGCCAAUAUCAUUAUUAUUUACUCACAGCAUCCCGUGCCCACAUUUUAUUUCAUAAUCCGCCUGGCAAUAGCCAUAGGCUCUUGAUUUCAACAUAGAUCAGACUAUUAUCAAUUUACCAACAACAAGGCAAAUUGCACAAGAUAUAAAAAUAAACACAAGAAAAAUCACAACAUCACAAGAAAAUUACCAACGCAAUAACCCCACAUCACACAUAAGAAUUACCAACACAAUAACUCCACAUCAUCACGUAUCAUCCCUAACAAUAGACAGCCUUAUCUCUCCUAUAGCCACCCUUAUCACUCCUAUAAUAGCCACCCUUAUCACUCUGCCCAGACAAUAUCCUAACAUACAUAACCACAGUGAAAUGCCACCCUUAUAUCCUCAUAAUAAUAACUCAAAUCACACAACAAUUUACACAGAAAAUUAUCACGACUACACAGCACAAUCAAUUCAUAUCACAAUUUGUCCAACAAACACAACCAAUUCCAAUGAUAUAGUAAAAUUAAUAAAUUUCUCAAAAAUAGCCCAAGGCUCCACACAACGUAUAUAAAACCUCAAAAACAAUCAACAGAGAUAGAAAAUACUCAAUAUAGGGCAACACCUUCAUUAAUUCAAAUUCUUGAUAAUUAUAUUAACGCCUCAGUUUAAACUUAGUUCAUUAAUUAUUUGCAGAUGAAAAAUCCAUAAUAUAAUUAUUUCUAGGAAAUAUCAAAUCAACAAACUCACGGAAUUCACAUAAAUAUUCAAGUAACAAUCACAUCAAAUUUUCAUAUUAAAAAGAAUUCAACAAACGAGGAUUGAGGCAUGACAAGUAGAUGAUUUAAUAAAUGCCAAUAAUUAUCCAAUUUACUACACAAUAAUGCCUAAGACUUUAACACAAUAAAUUUUGCACAUAUAAGCUCGAGUACGUACUCGUCACCUCGCGUACACGGCUUUUCAUAUUUCACAAAUGGCACACAAGACUCGAUGCCUAAGGGGUAAUUCCCCCAUUCAAGGUUAGACAAGAUACUUACCUUUUUGAAGUUAUGACGAUAUUUCAAAAUUAUCUUUUUCCUUGAAUUGACCUCUGGAUAGCUCAAAUCUAUCCAAAUUAAUUAUAUAACUUCAUUAAAAUUCAUCAGAAAUAAUUCCGGAUAAUAAAACGUCGACUUAAAAUUUUAUUCUAAAAAGUCAACCAAAAGUCAACGCGGGACCCGCCUCUCGAAACCCGACAUAAUAUUCACGAAAUCCGAACACCCAUUCCGAUACGAGUUCAACCAUACCAAUUUUAUCGAAUUCCAAUAACAAAUCGUCCUCCAAAUCUUGAAUUUUUGUUUUUGAAAAGUUUUAUAAAAAUCUCAAUUUUCUCCAUUAAAACUCGAAUUAAACGAUGAAUAUAGCCAUGGAUUUAUGAAAUAUAAUCAUUCUUGGAUGUAGAACACUUACCCCAGUCGAAGUCAUGAAGGAAUCCUCAAAAUCGCCCAAGAACCAAGCUCCAAAAAAUCACAAUCGAAAUGAAGAAAUGACUGAUUUUUAACCCCCUUAUGUUUUUGUCGCUUCUGCGGACGAAUAUGACGCAUCUGCGGUCUCACUUUUGCGAGACAAAAAUCGCAUUUGCGAUUCUCACUGCCCAGCCCAAGCUCUCACCUGUGAAGCCAUUUUCGCUUCUGCGAUGGCCAGGCGCAUCUGCGCUUGCGCAUCUGCGCAGAAAUUGCCGCUUCUGCGGCCUUCUUCAUCAGCUUCUGCUCAAGUUGCUUCUGCGUUGCAAAUCCUCACUUCUGCGACCAAAUUCUUGCAGAAGCUAUCGCAUCAGUUGCUGUCCAGAACAGCAGAAUUCCAGCAGCUUUCUUUAAGUCCGAGUUGAUCCGUUAACCUUCCAAAAUUCACCCGAGGCCCUCAGGACUUUAACCAAAUAUACCAACAUGUCCCAAAAUACAAUACAAACUUAGUUGAGGCUUCAAACUACGUCAAACAAUGCCGAAACUAUGAAUCGCGUAUCGAAUCGAAUUAUGAGUUUUCAAAUCUUCCAACUUCUAUAUUUUGCAGCGAAACGUAUCAAAUCAAUCCGGAAUAACUUCAAAUUUUGCACACAAGUCACAAAUGAUGUAAUGGAACUNNNNNNNNNNNNNNNNNNNNNNNNNNNNNNNNNNNNNNNNNNNNNNNNNNNNNNNNNNNNNNNNNNNNNNNNNNNNNNNNNNNNNNNNNNNNNNNNNNNNNNNNNNNNNNNNNNNNNNNNNNNNNNNNNNNNNNNNNNNNNNNNNNNNNNNNNNNNNNNNNNNNNNNNNNNNNNNNNNNNNNNNNNNNNNNNNNNNNNNNNNNNNNNNNNNNNNNNNNNNNAAUUAUCCUACGGACCUCCAAAUCUAGAUCCGGAUACACGCCUAAGUCCGAAAUCACCAUACGAAGCUGUUGACAUUAUCUAAAUUCUAUUCCGGAGUUGUUUGCUCAAAAGUCAAACUACGGUCAACUCUUUUUAUUUCAAGCUUAAAAAUGAGAAUUGUUCUUUUAAUUUAAUUUCGAAUCUUCCGAAAAUCAAACUCAACCACACCCACUGGUCAUAAUAUAUAUUACGAAACUGCUCGAGACCUUUAGUCACUGAACGGGACAUAAAUUCUUAAAAUGACAAGUCGGGUCAUUACACCCAUGUUACACCAUCUUAUCUCAAGGAUUACAUUUGUAAUAUUGUUCAUCUGACUAAUCGUAGUGGAUCUUGAUUUCUAAGCCCUGUCACCCCAGAUUCAGUGGCUUUUAACGGUUUAUCUCUUUCCAAUCAACAAAUAUUUAACUUUGUGUCAAAUAUCCACGAACUUAUUAAUUAUGCACAGACAACAUAUCAUCCAAGAUGGCAAGAAGCAAUGAAAAAGAAAAUUGAUUCUCUUGAGCUCAAUAAGAUCUGGAAAGUAGUUGAACUACCCCAUGGAAGAAAAGCCUUACCAUGAAAGUAGGUAUACAAAGUUAAACACUAUUCAAAUGGAAGUGUGGAGAGAUUUAAAGCUCGAUUGGUUAUUUGAGGAGAUAUAUAGAAAGAGGGUAUUGAUUUCAAUGAGACAUUUUCACUAGUGGUGAAAAUGACAACCAUCAGGUAUAUUCUAACUACUGCAGUUAAAAAGGGAUGGGGUCUCUACCAAUUGUAUGUAAAUAAUACAUUUUUACAUGGAGAUCUAAAUGAGGAAGUAUACAUGAAGUUCCCAGUUAGGGUAAUGCCUCUUAUUCCUAUUCAUGUCUGCAAAUUAAAGAAGUCUCUUUAUGGCCUUCGACAAGCUUCUUGUUAAUGGUAUGCUAAGCUCACAACUGCUUUUAAUUUUAAGGAAUUCACCCAUUCUAUGAAUGACUAUUCCUUAUUUUUCAAAAAUAAAAAUUCUUCUAUCUCAAUCGUGGCAGUCAAUGUGGAUGAUAUCCUAUUAACGGGAAAUAAUAAUGCUGAAUUGAAUGCAUUAAAGAAAUUUCUGAAUUAAGAGUUCAAACUAGAGGACCUUAGGGACUUACAUUUCUUCCUGGGAAUGGAGGUUCUUCGAGAACCUCAAGGUUUGAUCCUUUUCCAAAGAAAGUUCACACUGGAUCUUUUGUGGGAAUUUGAUGCCCUCCAGCUAUAUUCUUGAGAAAUUUAAUUACUUAACUCACACUAGACCAGACUUGUCUUUCACCAUUCAACACCUGAGCAUGUACAUGCAAGACCAUAGACAAACAUAUCUCGAAGCUACUCAUCGAGUUCUUCGAUAUCUUUUGAAGGAUCCUAGUCUAAGACUUUUUAUGUCAUCUUCAUCAUCCUUUCAACUUCUAGCUUUUUGUGAUUUCGAUUGGGGGACAUGCCCAGACUCUCGAAAAUCAGUCAUUGGUUUCUAUAUUUCACUGGGUACCUCUCCUAUGAAUAUGGAAGUCCAAAAAGUAAACUUCCAUUUCACUUAGUUCUGCAGAAGCAGAGUAGCAUUCGAUGAGGCGAGUGGUUUCAGAACAGACUUGGUUGGUGCGACUCUUUGAACAUCUCCCAAUACCCAUCUCUCUUCUAGUUCCUCUCCACUCAGAUAGCCAAGCAACGAUUCAUAUCGCUAAAAUUCCCGUCUUUCACGAAUAGACCAAGCAUGUUGAAAUCGACUAUCAUUUUGUAAGAGAGAAAUUUCUUGUUGGUCUAAUCUCCCUCUCCUUUGUCAGAUCUUCCUCUCAGCUUGCCGAUCUAUUUACAAAAGCCCUCAUUGGUCCUCUUCAUCAUGAUUUAUUAGGCAAUUUGGGGAUUCUUUCCUCCCCCUCCAACUUGAGGGGGGGAUGGGUAUUGGUGUUGGAAUGACGAAAUUUGAUCGAUCUCCGGUGGAAAAAGAUUAUUCUUUAGAUGCCUCUGAUAAGAAAAUGAACAAAGAUGACAAAGUGAGUUU
RNAcentral lists this long non-coding RNA (15493 nucleotides) under Nicotiana tabacum (common tobacco). RNAcentral's name for it is "long non-coding RNA (NTAB_LNC001065)". The record is from RNAcentral. Lineage: Eukaryota; Viridiplantae; Streptophyta; Magnoliopsida; Solanales; Solanaceae.